CCUACGGGUGGCUGCAGUGGGGAAUAUUGGACAAUGGGCGAAAGCCUGAUCCAGCCAUGCCGCGUGUGUGAAGAAGGCCUUCGGGUUGUAAAGCACUUUCAGUGGGGAAGAAAGCCUUGGGGCUAAUACCCUCGAGGAAGGACAUCACCCACAGAGGAAGCACCGGCUAACUCCGUGCCAGCAGCCGCGGUAAUACGGAGGGUGCGAGCGUUAAUCGGAAUUACUGGGCGUAAAGCGCGCGUAGGCGGUCUGAUAAGCCGGUUGUGAAAGCCCCGGGCUCAACCUGGGAACGGCAUCCGGAACUGUCAGGCUAGAGUGCAGGAGAGGAAGGUAGAAUUCCCGGUGUAGCGGUGAAAUGCGUAGAGAUCGGGAGGAAUACCAGUGGCGAAGGCGGCCUUCUGGACUGACACUGACGCUGAGGUGCGAAAGCGUGGGUAGCAAACAGGAUUAGAUACCCCGGUAGUC
Molecule: ribosomal RNA, 465 nt
Filed under: Vreelandella stevensii
Lineage: Bacteria; Pseudomonadati; Pseudomonadota; Gammaproteobacteria; Oceanospirillales; Halomonadaceae
Description: partial 16S ribosomal RNA
Rfam family: Bacterial small subunit ribosomal RNA
Source: RNAcentral